Molecule: ribosomal RNA, 193 nt
Filed under: uncultured bacterium
Lineage: Bacteria
Description: partial 16S ribosomal RNA
Rfam family: Bacterial small subunit ribosomal RNA
Source: RNAcentral
ACUCCUACGGGAGGCAGCAGUAGGGAAUAUUGGGCAAUGGACGCAAGUCUGACCCAGCCAUGCCGCGUGCAGGAUGAAGGCGUUAUGCGUUGUAAACUGCUUUUAUACAGGAAGAAACGACUCUUGCGAGAGGCAUUGACGGUACUGUAUGAAUAAGCACCGGCUAACUCCGUGCCAGCAGCCGCGGUAAUAC